GAGCCUGCAGUGGACAAAAGAUUUGAGAUUUCCAACAGCCUUAGUUUCACUAGCCUGUUUUGAAAUACAAGGUCUAAAGCUACAGAGUGGAUUUCCCAGCUUGAUGAGAAGUAAAGGAAAAACAGCUAUAGAAUAUGGAGAUUUUCUACCAUUUUAUCCUACCAACAACCUUGCGAGAUGAUAUCUUUGUAUGAAGAAAGUGCAAUCUGGAAGAAGCAAAGGCAUAUGCUGAGUUUGGGAACA
This is a long non-coding RNA of Anolis sagrei ordinatus, 243 nucleotides long. RefSeq lists it as uncharacterized. The record is from RefSeq and is a predicted model, not a curated record. Lineage: Eukaryota; Metazoa; Chordata; Lepidosauria; Squamata; Anolidae.